RNAcentral lists this ribosomal RNA (440 nucleotides) under uncultured bacterium. Its description in RNAcentral is "partial 16S ribosomal RNA". It matches the Rfam family "Bacterial small subunit ribosomal RNA", at positions 338 to 795 of the family's 1533-position model. The record is from RNAcentral.
CCUACGGGAGGCAGCAGUGGGGAAUAUUGCACAAUGGGGGAAACCCUGAUGCAGCGACGCCGCGUGAGUGAAGAAGUAAUUCGUUAUGUAAAGCUCUAUCAGCAGGGAAGAAAAUGACGGUACCUGAGUAAGAAGCCCCGGCUAACUACGUGCCAGCAGCCGCGGUAAUACGUAGGGGGCAAGCGGUAUCCGGAUUUACUGGGUGUAAAGGGAGCGUAGACGGCAGUGCAAGUCUGGAGUGAAAGGCGGGGGCUCAACCCCCGGACUGCUCUGGAAACUGUACGGCUGGAGUGCAGGAGAGGUAAGUGGAAUUCCUAGUGUAGCGGUGAAAUGCGGAGAUAUUAGGAGGAACACCAGUGGCGAAGGCGGCUUACUGGACUGUAACUGACGUUGAGGCUCGAAAGCGUGGGGAGCAAACAGGAUUAGAUACCCGAGUAGUC